GCCUGGGUGGCUCAGUCGGUUGAGUGUCUGACUUUGGCUCACGUCAUGAUCUCACAGUUCAUGGGUUCGAGCCCUGUGUCAGGCU
This is a non-coding RNA of Felis catus (domestic cat), 85 nucleotides long. The record is from Rfam. Lineage: Eukaryota; Metazoa; Chordata; Mammalia; Carnivora; Felidae.